AGCGAACGCUGGCGGCAGGCUUAACACAUGCAAGUCGAGCGGGCACUUCGUUGUCAGCGGCAGACGGGUGAGUAACACGUGGGAACGUACCCGUUGGUUCGGAAUAACGCUGGUAAACUAGCGCUAAUACCGGAUACGCCCUUUUGGGGAACGGGUUGCUGCCGCAGGAUCGGCCCGGGUCUGUUUAGCUGGUUGGUGGGGUAAUGGCCUGCCAUGGCGACGAUCGGUAGCUGGUCGGAGAGGAAGGUCUGCCACACUGGGACUGAGACACGGCCCAGACUCCUACGGGAGGCAGCAGUGUGGAAUAUUGGACAAUGGGCGCAAGCCUGAUCCAGCCAUGCCGGGUGAGUGAUGAAGGCCUUAGGGUUGUAAAGCUCUUUUGUCCGGGACGAUAAUGACGGUACCGGAAGAAUAAGCCCCGGCUAACUUCGUG
Molecule: ribosomal RNA, 433 nt
Filed under: uncultured bacterium
Lineage: Bacteria
Description: partial 16S ribosomal RNA
Rfam family: Bacterial small subunit ribosomal RNA
Source: RNAcentral